GGGUUGUGAGGUUAAGCGACUAAGCGUACACGGUGGAUGCCCUGGCAGUCAGAGGCGAUGAAGGACGUGCUAAUCUGCGAUAAGCGUCGGUAAGGUGAUAUGAACCGUUAUAACCGGCGAUUUCCGAAUGGGGAAACCCAGUGUGAUUCGUCACACUAUCAUUAACUGAAUCCAUAGGUUAAUGAGGCGAACCGGGGGAACUGAAACAUCUAAGUACCCCGAGGAAAAGAAAUCAACCGAGAUUCCCCCAGUAGCGGCGAGCGAACGGGGAGCAGCCCAGAGCCUGAAUCAGUGUGUGUGUUAGUGGAAGCGUCUGGAAAGGCGUGCGAUACAGGGUGACAGCCCCGUACACAAAAAUGCACAUAUUGUGAGCUCGAUGAGUAGGGCGGGACACGUGGUAUCCUGUCUGAAUAUGGGGGGACCAUCCUCCAAGGCUAAAUACUCCUGACUGACCGAUAGUGAACCAGUACCGUGAGGGAAAGGCGAAAAGAACCCCGGCGAGGGGAGUGAAAAAGAACCUGAAACCGUGUACGUACAAGCAGUGGGAGCACGCUUAGGCGUGUGACUGCGUACCUUUUGUAUAAUGGGUCAGCGACUUAUAUUCUGUAGCAAGGUUAACCGAAUAGGGGAGCCGAAGGGAAACCGAGUCUUAACUGGGCGUUAAGUUGCAGGGUAUAGACCCGAAACCCGGUGAUCUAGCCAUGGGCAGGUUGAAGGUUGGGUAACACUAACUGGAGGACCGAACCGACUAAUGUUGAAAAAUUAGCGGAUGACUUGUGGCUGGGGGUGAAAGGCCAAUCAAACCGGGAGAUAGCUGGUUCUCCCCGAAAGCUAUUUAGGUAGCGCCUCGUGAAUUCAUCUCCGGGGGUAGAGCACUGUUUCGGCAAGGGGGUCAUCCCGACUUACCAACCCGAUGCAAACUGCGAAUACCGGAGAAUGUUAUCACGGGAGACACACGGCGGGUGCUAACGUCCGUCGUGAAGAGGGAAACAACCCAGACCGCCAGCUAAGGUCCCAAAGUCAUGGUUAAGUGGGAAACGAUGUGGGAAGGCCCAGACAGCCAGGAUGUUGGCUUAGAAGCAGCCAUCAUUUAAAGAAAGCGUAAUAGCUCACUGGUCGAGUCGGCCUGCGCGGAAGAUGUAACGGGGCUAAACCAUGCACCGAAGCUGCGGCAGCGACGCUUAUGCGUUGUUGGGUAGGGGAGCGUUCUGUAAGCCUGUGAAGGUGUACUGUGAGGUAUGCUGGAGGUAUCAGAAGUGCGAAUGCUGACAUAAGUAACGAUAAAGCGGGUGAAAAGCCCGCUCGCCGGAAGACCAAGGGUUCCUGUCCAACGUUAAUCGGGGCAGGGUGAGUCGACCCCUAAGGCGAGGCCGAAAGGCGUAGUCGAUGGGAAACAGGUUAAUAUUCCUGUACUUGGUGUUACUGCGAAGGGGGGACGGAGAAGGCUAUGUUGGCCGGGCGACGGUUGUCCCGGUUUAAGCGUGUAGGCUGGUUUUCCAGGCAAAUCCGGAAAAUCAAGGCUGAGGCGUGAUGACGAGGCACUACGGUGCUGAAGCAACAAAUGCCCUGCUUCCAGGAAAAGCCUCUAAGCAUCAGGUAACAUCAAAUCGUACCCCAAACCGACACAGGUGGUCAGGUAGAGAAUACCAAGGCGCUUGAGAGAACUCGGGUGAAGGAACUAGGCAAAAUGGUGCCGUAACUUCGGGAGAAGGCACGCUGAUAUGUAGGUGAAGUCCCUCGCGGAUGGAGCUGAAAUCAGUCGAAGAUACCAGCUGGCUGCAACUGUUUAUUAAAAACACAGCACUGUGCAAACACGAAAGUGGACGUAUACGGUGUGACGCCUGCCCGGUGCCGGAAGGUUAAUUGAUGGGGUCAGCGCAAGCGAAGCUCUUGAUCGAAGCCCCGGUAAACGGCGGCCGUAACUAUAACGGUCCUAAGGUAGCGAAAUUCCUUGUCGGGUAAGUUCCGACCUGCACGAAUGGCGUAAUGAUGGCCAGGCUGUCUCCACCCGAGACUCAGUGAAAUUGAACUCGCUGUGAAGAUGCAGUGUACCCGCGGCAAGACGGAAAGACCCCGUGAACCUUUACUAUAGCUUGACACUGAACAUUGAGCCUUGAUGUGUAGGAUAGGUGGGAGGCUUUGAAGUGUGGACGCCAGUCUGCAUGGAGCCGACCUUGAAAUACCACCCUUUAAUGUUUGAUGUUCUAACGUGGACCCGUAAUCCGGGUUGCGGACAGUGUCUGGUGGGUAGUUUGACUGGGGCGGUCUCCUCCUAAAGAGUAACGGAGGAGCACGAAGGUUGGCUAAUCCUGGUCGGACAUCAGGAGGUUAGUGCAAUGGCAUAAGCCAGCUUGACUGCGAGCGUGACGGCGCGAGCAGGUGCGAAAGCAGGUCAUAGUGAUCCGGUGGUUCUGAAUGGAAGGGCCAUCGCUCAACGGAUAAAAGGUACUCCGGGGAUAACAGGCUGAUACCGCCCAAGAGUUCAUAUCGACGGCGGUGUUUGGCACCUCGAUGUCGGCUCAUCACAUCCUGGGGCUGAAGUAGGUCCCAAGGGUAUGGCUGUUCGCCAUUUAAAGUGGUACGCGAGCUGGGUUUAGAACGUCGUGAGACAGUUCGGUCCCUAUCUGCCGUGGGCGCUGGAGAAUUGAGGGGGGCUGCUCCUAGUACGAGAGGACCGGAGUGGACGCAUCACUGGUGUUCGGGUUGUCAUGCCAAUGGCACUGCCCGGUAGCUAAAUGCGGAAGAGAUAAGUGCUGAAAGCAUCUAAGCACGAAACUUGCCCCGAGAUGAGUUCUCCCUGACUCCUUGAGAGUCCUGAAGGAACGUUGAAGACGACGACGUUGAUAGGCCGGGUGUGUAAGCGCAGCGAUGCGUUGAGCUAACCGGUACUAAUGAACCGUGAGGCUUAACCUUACAACGCCGAAGGUGUUU
Molecule: ribosomal RNA, 2931 nt
Filed under: Escherichia coli
Lineage: Bacteria; Pseudomonadati; Pseudomonadota; Gammaproteobacteria; Enterobacterales; Enterobacteriaceae
Description: 23S ribosomal RNA
Rfam family: Bacterial large subunit ribosomal RNA
Source: RNAcentral